Molecule: ribosomal RNA, 252 nt
Filed under: uncultured bacterium
Lineage: Bacteria
Description: partial 16S ribosomal RNA
Rfam family: Bacterial small subunit ribosomal RNA
Source: RNAcentral
UACGGAGGAUGCGGGCGUUAUCCGGAUUUAUUGGGUUUAAAGGGUGCGUAGGCGGGUUAUCAAGUCAGCGGUAAAAUCGUGGAGCUCAACUCCAUCCAGCCGUUGAAACUGAUGAUCUUGAGUGGGCGAGAAGUAUGCGGAAUGCGUGGUGUAGCGGUGAAAUGCAUAGAUAUCACGCAGAACUCCGAUUGCGAAGGCAGCAUACCGGCGCCCGACUGACGCUGAAGCACGAAAGCGUGGGUAUCGAACAGG